Molecule: ribosomal RNA, 497 nt
Filed under: uncultured bacterium
Lineage: Bacteria
Description: partial 16S ribosomal RNA
Rfam family: Bacterial small subunit ribosomal RNA
Source: RNAcentral
GAUGAACGCUGGCGGCGUGCCUAAUACAUGCAAGUCGAGCGAACGGACGAGAAGCUUGCUUCUCUGAUGUUAGCGGCGGACGGGUGAGUAACACGUGGAUAACCUACCUAUAAGACUGGGAUAACUUCGGGAAACCGGAGCUAAUACCGGAUAAUAUUUUGAACCGCAUGGUUCAAAAGUGAAAGACGGUCUUGCUGUCACUUAUAGAUGGAUCCGCGCUGCAUUAGCUAGUUGGUAAGGUAACGGCUUACCAAGGCAACGAUGCAUAGCCGACCUGAGAGGGUGAUCGGCCACACUGGAACUGAGACACGGUCCAGACUCCUACGGGAGGCAGCAGUAGGGAAUCUUCCGCAAUGGGCGAAAGCCUGACGGAGCAACGCCGCGUGAGUGAUGAAGGUCUUCGGAUCGUAAAACUCCGUUAUUAGGGAAGAACAUAUGUGUAAGUAACUGUGCACAUCUUGACGGUACCUAAUCAGAAAGCCACGGCUAAUUACGUG